Rattus rattus (black rat) is the source of this 1903-nucleotide long non-coding RNA. RefSeq lists it as uncharacterized. The transcript is spliced from 2 exons. The record is from RefSeq and is a predicted model, not a curated record. Lineage: Eukaryota; Metazoa; Chordata; Mammalia; Rodentia; Muridae.
ACGCCACUUGCUGCCUCCCCUGGGGAAUUCAGAAGUAGAGAAAUGGGAUGGCCACAGAUGACCUGCACAGAGGGCUAACUGGAAGCACCUAGGUAAAGGGAUUUCACACCGGGGUCAGCAGAAUGCGACGGCAUAGUCCAGGCUAGCCCGGACGUUGUCCGCGGAGCAGACACAAAGCCCCCUCCCCGCGUGCAGCGCUGAUUCUGUUGAAUUAGUGCGGAUGAAGGAGUCCAUCGAGAAAGGCUGGUGGACGGCUAUAGACAUCUGUGUUGACGCUUCAUUUUCAGGGAAGCUGAGGGCUAAUCACUCAGCCUCCUUCUUAACCCUUUAUUGUGCCAAGAAAAUGUUUAUGGGAUGGCCUGCUGGUCAUAAACAAGCUGGUUCUUCCUCUAAUAUUCCCUGUGUACCUGAUCUCAGCAGUCAUCCUCCACGCCGCCCACCCGCAUCUCCUCCCCGUGGGCUCCCGGGUUCUGCCUUCUAUAGGUAGAACCUUCUCUCUCUAAAGGCUAAGCCAGUGAUGGUUGGCUCAUUCUCUUGGACGUGGCGGGUUGAGGAGUGGCAUCCGGUGUUGCCCGUGGCAUCUAGGAAGAUGGCUGCUGAGAACUUCUGGGAUUUCCGGAGAAGGCUUCUGCACCUACUACAGCUUCUGCUCCUGUUAAAGUGAUUUCUAGUAGGGAAUUCCUGUUGGAGUCUCCAGCCAAAUGCCUGUCACUUGGAAAAUUUCUGAUUCCUGAUGAAGAUGCAAAAAGAAGUCACCGGCCGCCAAACAGAAAUGAUGUCAUAAAGACAGUAAUGAGUUGUGCCUGUCCCAAAGCCAAAGUGACUUAUUCGCUAGCAACAAAGAGUAGUGGCUGACUAUCCCCAGAAAAAGAAUCCAAUUAGGUCUGUGAGGCCGAUGCCCUUGCUGAUCAAAGCACCUGGGAGCUUGUUAGAGAUGUAAGGCUGAGUCAGAACCCACAUCUUAACACGGUCCCCAGACAACACUCAGGCACUUGAGAUUUUGAGAAGCAUUUCCUUAGAUCAGCCCGAGACCAUCUAGUGGUGAGUGGGCCACGGUAGCUGCUGGAUAUUCGAAAUGAAGUAAUUUCCAGCAAGUGGGGAGGAAGCCCUAACUGGUCCAACAGGAACUGGCUCUUCUCUGGAAGUUCUCUGCUCAGAUGUCAUGAGGUCGCACCUAAGGUGUGGCGGCCAUAAUCAGAGAUUAUGUGCUGGCAGUUGGCUGUGCAGCCAGAGAGAAGCACUGGGUGGACACACUCCCUUGCCUCUGAGAGGCUGGCAUGUAGAAAGUAGAUAAGAGAUAAGAGUUGGGGGUAUGAUGCCUCAUGCCCCCCACAUAGUGGCAGUAGCAGAAGCCAAGGAGAUUUGAGCCCCAGGUAGACAGUUUGGUCUUCUUGACUCAGUUCCUUAUGAGUCCUUGGUCUCCCUCAGUGGUUUGGGUGACUCUCCUGUUUCCUUCUGAAUUGAGCCCUGCUAAAGAUAAUACCUCAGUAAACAUUUCUCCUACCUUCUCCCACCAGGAGAGCUUCUAGCAAGAGCCCGUUCCAGGGGUUUUAGAAACUCUGUAUCUUCAAGCCUAUCACCCCUGCUGCCCCAAAGUAGGAAGUAACCCCUUCUCCUAGGGCUGUGCCCCAUGGACACCAGAUCCAGACUGGCAAAACUUUAUUACUGUAUUCUCAUACGAGUGUUUCAAGGCAUAGUAACUAGACCAGAACCAAGCUAGUCAUCUCUGCCUCAGCCAGGGCUGCUCCUCCCACAGAAUCAGCCAAAUGGAUGAAGUUUGUGGGCUGUUUAAAGCAUAUGGUUUGCAAAUACUGUAAAGCCAAACACCACUUUUGGCGUUUAUUUACUGUAAUGUCUCACAUCACCUACUACCAAGCUUGCUGAUCAGGCCCACUUUGCCUCA